This 440-nucleotide ribosomal RNA is filed under the name uncultured Bacteroides sp. RNAcentral describes it as "bacterial SSU rRNA". It matches the Rfam family "Bacterial small subunit ribosomal RNA", at positions 940 to 1382 of the family's 1533-position model. The record is from RNAcentral. Lineage: Bacteria; Pseudomonadati; Bacteroidota; Bacteroidia; Bacteroidales; Bacteroidaceae.
UGUGGCUUAAUUCGAUGAUACGCGAGGAACCUUACCCGGGCUUGAAUUGCAGAGGAAUAUAGUUGAAAGAUUAUGGCCGCAAGGUCUCUGUGAAGGUGCUGCAUGGUUGUCGUCAGCUCGUGCCGUGAGGUGUCGGCUUAAGUGCCAUAACGAGCGCAACCCUUAUCAUUAGUUACUAACAGGUCAUGCUGAGGACUCUAGUGAGACUGCCGUCGUAAGAUGUGAGGAAGGUGGGGAUGACGUCAAAUCAGCACGGCCCUUACGUCCGGGGCUACACACGUGUUACAAUGGGGGGUACAGAGGGCAGCUACCGGGCGACCGGAUGCCAAUCCCAAAAACCUCUCUCAGUUCGGAUCGAAGUCUGCAACCCGACUUCGUGAAGCUGGAUUCGCUAGUAAUCGCGCGUCAGCCACGGCGCGGUGAAUACGUUCCCGGGCCUU